GACGAACGCUGGCGGCGUGCUUAACACAUGCAAGUCGAACGGUGAAGGGGUCUGCUUUUGUGGGCCCUGGAUGAGUGGCGAACGGGUGAGUAACACGUGAGUAACCUGCCCCCUUCUUCUGGAUAACCGCAUGAAAGUGUGGCUAAUACGGGAUAUUCUGGGUCUGUCGCAUGAUGGGUCUGGGAAAGAUUGCGCCUUUGGGUGUUUUUGGUGGGGGAUGGGCUCGCGGCCUAUCAGCUUGUUGGUGGGGUGAUGGCCUACCAAGGCGGUGACGGGUAGCCGGCCUGAGAGGGUGGACGGUCACACUGGGACUGAGACACGGCCCAGACUCCUACGGGAGGCAGCAGUGGGGAAUAUUGCACAAUGGGCGCAAGCCUGAUGCAGCGACGCCGCGUGAGGGAUGGAGGCCUUCGGGUUGUAAACCUCUUUCGCCAGUGAAGCAGGCCUGCUCCUUAUGGGUGGGUUGACGGUAGCUGGAUAAGAAGCGCCGGCUAACUACGUG
This 502-nucleotide ribosomal RNA is filed under the name uncultured bacterium. RNAcentral describes it as "partial 16S ribosomal RNA". It matches the Rfam family "Bacterial small subunit ribosomal RNA", at positions 28 to 507 of the family's 1533-position model. The record is from RNAcentral.